AGAGGAAGCCGGUGCGAAUCCGGCGCGGUCCCGCCACUGUCACCGGGGAGCGCACCCCACCCACGUCACGGCCCGUUCCGACGGGCGGGAAGACCGGGGCCCGCGCCGAUCCGGGAGCCAGGAGACUC
Molecule: non-coding RNA, 128 nt
Filed under: Streptomyces fradiae
Lineage: Bacteria; Bacillati; Actinomycetota; Actinomycetes; Kitasatosporales; Streptomycetaceae
Source: RNAcentral